GAUGAACGCUGGCGGCGUGCCUAAUACAUGCAAGUCGAGCGAACAGACGAGGAGCUUGCUCCUCUGACGUUAGCGGCGGACGGGUGAGUAACACGUGGAUAACCUACCUAUAAGACUGGGAUAACUUCGGGAAACCGGAGCUAAUACCGGAUAAUAUAUUGAACCGCAUGUUUCAAUAGUGAAAGACGGUUUUGCUGUCUCUUAUAGAUGUAUCCGCGCCGCAUUAUCUAGUUGGUAAGGUAACGGCUUACCAAGGCAACGAUGCGUAGACGACCUGAGAGGGUGAGCGGACACACUGGAACUGAGAAACGGUGCAGACUACUACGGGAGGCAGCAGUAGGGAAUAUUACGCAAUGGGCGAAAGCAUGACGGAGCAAAGCCGCGUGAGUGAUGAAGGUCUUCGGAUCGUAAAACUCUGUUAUUAGGGAAGAAAAAAUGUGUAAGUAACUAUGCACGUAUUGACGGUACCUAAUCAGAAAGCCACGGCUAACUACGUG
RNAcentral lists this ribosomal RNA (497 nucleotides) under uncultured bacterium. Its description in RNAcentral is "partial 16S ribosomal RNA". It matches the Rfam family "Bacterial small subunit ribosomal RNA", at positions 28 to 507 of the family's 1533-position model. The record is from RNAcentral.